CAGGGAUCGUGCGGGUCGUGCUGGUCGUUCAGCGCGUCGGGGGCGCUAGAGGGAGCGAACUACCUGGCGACGGGCAAGAUGGACGUGCUCUCCGAGCAGCAGAUGGUCGAUUGCGACCAUGAGUGUGAUUCAUCAGAACCUGAUUCAUGUGAUGCUGGAUGCAAUGGUGGAUUGAUGACUAACGCCUUCAGCUAUCUUUUGAAAUCCGG
RNAcentral lists this unclassified non-coding RNA (209 nucleotides) under Hevea brasiliensis (rubber tree). The record is from RNAcentral. Lineage: Eukaryota; Viridiplantae; Streptophyta; Magnoliopsida; Malpighiales; Euphorbiaceae.